UACGUAGGGUGCAGGCGUUAAUCGGAAUUACUGGGCGUAAAGCGUGCGCAGGCGGUCUCUUAAGACAGGUGUGAAAUCCCCGAGCUUAACUUGGGAACUGCGCUUGUAACUGAGAGGCUAGAGUGUGGCAGAGGGGGGUGGAAUUCCUGGUGUAGCGGUGAAAUGCGCAGAUAUCAGGAAGAACACCCGUGGCUAAGGCGGUUCUCUAGUACGGUACUGACGCUGAGACGCGAAAGCGUGGGGAGCGAACAGG
RNAcentral lists this ribosomal RNA (253 nucleotides) under uncultured bacterium. Its description in RNAcentral is "partial 16S ribosomal RNA". It matches the Rfam family "Bacterial small subunit ribosomal RNA", at positions 524 to 776 of the family's 1533-position model. The record is from RNAcentral.